RNAcentral lists this long non-coding RNA (493 nucleotides) under Gossypium raimondii (Peruvian cotton). RNAcentral's name for it is "long non-coding RNA (GRAI_LNC007188)". The record is from RNAcentral. Lineage: Eukaryota; Viridiplantae; Streptophyta; Magnoliopsida; Malvales; Malvaceae.
GUUGAAAGAGCAAUCUAAAGCUAAUGGUGCUUAGAAUGGGGCUUCAUACUAUGUUCCUACCCAAGAUCUUAAAUCAGAAUAGACGCUCAUCAACAGAGCAACUUGUUGGAGCAGCUUCUUCAGCAUACCUCUCGCACGUGACGACUCAUGGAAAUCUGAUUUCAACUUGACAUCAUUGUUAGUGUACAUUUCUUAAGUGAUUCAGAUGAAGAGUAACACGGCCAUUUGAAAUGUGAUUUGGGGUGUAGCUUGACGAAUAUAUAUCAGUUCUCUUUGUCUAGGUUUUAAAGUCUGUCAUGUGUUUAUAACCUUUUUGUCUAAGCUAAGAAACUAUAAAUCAGAAUCAUGGUGUGUAUUUUGGGUUGUGCCCCAAAAUUAUUUAAGGGGUUAAGUAUAGUAUCUCCAUUUGUUGAUCACUGGUCAUCUUCUCAACUUUGCCAUAUUCUUUCUCCAUAUUUGAUGUCAAGUUGAAAAGAAAAUUUUUGGUAUGCAC